RNAcentral lists this ribosomal RNA (497 nucleotides) under uncultured bacterium. RNAcentral's name for it is "partial 16S ribosomal RNA". It matches the Rfam family "Bacterial small subunit ribosomal RNA", at positions 28 to 507 of the family's 1533-position model. The record is from RNAcentral.
GAUGAACGCUGGCGGCGUGCCUAAUACAUGCAAGUCGAGCGAACAGAUGAGGAGCUUGCUCCUCUGACGUUAGCGGCGGACGGGUGAGUAACACGUGGAUAACCUACCUAUAAGACUGGGAUAACUUCGGGAAACCGGAGCUAAUACCGGAUAAUAUAUUGAACCGCAUGGUUCAAUAGUGAAAGACGGUUUUGCUGUCACUUAUAGAUGGAUCCGCGCCGCAUUAGCUAGUUGGUAAGGUAACGGCUUACCAAGGCAACGAUGCGUAGCCGACCUGAGAGGGGGAUAGGCCACACUGGAAGUGAGACACGGUCCAGACGACUGAGGGAGGCAGCAGUCGGGAAUCGGCGGCAACGGGCGAAAGCAUGACGGAGUAGAGCCGAGUGAGUGAUGAAGGUCUUCGGAUCGGAAAAAUCGGUUAUUGGGGAAGAACAAAUGUGGAAGGUAACAAGCACGGCGUGACGGUAACGAAUCAGAAAGCAACGGCUAACUACGUG